This 253-nucleotide ribosomal RNA is filed under the name uncultured bacterium. RNAcentral describes it as "partial 16S ribosomal RNA". It matches the Rfam family "Bacterial small subunit ribosomal RNA", at positions 524 to 776 of the family's 1533-position model. The record is from RNAcentral.
UACGGAGGGUGCAAGCGUUGUUCGGAAUUAUUGGGCGUAAAGGGCGUGUAGGCGGUUCGUUAAGUCUGAUGUGAAAGCCCCGGGCUCAACCUGGGAAGUGCAUUGGAAACUGGCGAACUUGGUAUCGGGAGAGGGCAGUGGAAUUCCUAGUGUAGGAGUGAAAUCCGUAGAUAUUAGGAGGAACACCGGUGGCGAAGGCGGCUGCCUGGACCGAUACUGACGCUGAGACGCGAAAGCGUGGGGAGCAAACAGG